UUCUACCUGGUUGCCUGCCUUA
Molecule: non-coding RNA, 22 nt
Filed under: Mus musculus (house mouse)
Lineage: Eukaryota; Metazoa; Chordata; Mammalia; Rodentia; Muridae
Source: RNAcentral